Molecule: ribosomal RNA, 301 nt
Filed under: uncultured bacterium
Lineage: Bacteria
Description: partial 16S ribosomal RNA
Rfam family: Bacterial small subunit ribosomal RNA
Source: RNAcentral
CAGCCGCCACGGGAAUACGGAGGGUGCAAGCGUUAUCCGGAUUUAUUGGGUUUAAAGGGUCCGUAGGCGGAUCUGUAAGUCAGUGGUGAAAUCUCACAGCUUAACUGUGAAACUGCCAUUGAUACUGCAGGUCUUGAGUAAAUUUGAAGUGGCUGGAAUAAGUAGUGUAGCGGUGAAAUGCAUAGAUAUUACUUAGAACACCAAUUGCGAAGGCAGGUCACUAAUAUUCAACUGACGCUGAUGGACGAAAGCGUGGGGAGCGAACAGGAUUAGAUACCCCGGUAGUCCCUGUCUCUUAUAC